GUGUCGCGGCCCAUGCAAAUUUGAUUGCAUAUUAGAAAUGCAGUAUAGCUAGGAAAUGACUCCUAGGUCGUCUCUCAAGGACCAAUUUUGCGGUUCUAGAAUCAAGUCAAACACGAAGUGGGGAGGGUUUGAAAAAGGAUUGUGAAUGCGGAUAAACUAAAUUAAAACACGGAUGCAACAGAAAUGUAAAAUCAGAAUUGCAAAAGGAAAUCACAUACAGAAUAAAAACGGUUGGUCAUUAACUUAAUUACAAUGUUUCCAAUCACAAAUCAACAAAAUAAAGUUGCGACUCAAACUUCUAAUCCAACAAAGUUAACCAACUAAGCGAAGGUUAACCCUGUUUUCAUAAAAACGAACUAAGCGAACGCAAUGAUAAUAUCAAAUCUAAAUUACACCAUUAAGUUACAUCAACUAAGCGAAGAUGUAACACCAACUGGGCAACUAAGCGUAUACCCAAUUGCAAGUUCAAAAAUAGAAUUCACAUCAACCAAGUCAGAGUGGCAAACGUAGUCACAGUUCAGAAAUCUCAAGGAAACAGUGCAAUUUUAUUAAUGACCAACAAAAUUAAUUUAAGCUAGCAUGAUAACUAAAUUAUUUCUACCACAAAUACAAGACAUCAUUAGGACAAAAUAAAAUAAAAUACUAGACACCAACACAAUUAAAAAUAAUUAAAUGCAACACUAACUCAAACACAUAAAAAACAACUCAACCACUAAUUAAACUAAGUGAAAAAAAAAGAGAAAUUAACAAGCCUAUUGUACUUCUAGUAAUUUAAGUGACCCAAUAUGCAAUUAAUAAAUAAAUUAAAAGUCCAAAUGGCCUAAGGAUACCUCUUAGCCGUGAGUUACCAUGCACCAAAAUCAAACUCCAAAUUCCACCUUCAAUAAGCUACAAAAUGUGUUGACUUCUUAUCUCAUGUGCACCAUUUUCCAAGGAAAUAAGCAUGUGCCUUCCAAAAAAAGUAAAACCAUCCUCUCUCUUCCACCAUGCAGCAAAGAAAAUGAAAUACACAAGCUAAGACACAAUUGCCGUGAGCAAGCAAAGAGCUUCUACAAAAGUUGCUUCAAAAACCAAUGUGCAAAUGGAAGAUACUUUGAAUGGUCCAACCCAUGUGCCAUGUAAGCAAAGUCAAAGCAAGGAAAAACAAUCACAAUACAUCCCCUUUUUCAAAUCCACUCUCGGUAAUUUCAAAUGCUAGCAAAGAUGACCACCAAAAUUGGAAACAUUCCUUCCAUGAAAAGAAGCNUCUCAUGUGUUGGUCCAAAUGGGGUAAAAAUUAAAUGCACCUUUCUCUCUCCCUUCUCACCUCAUUUUCGUUUUUUUCUCUACCAACAAACAUCAUUCAACUUUUCUUCCUUCACCUUACCAAAACAAUGCUCCAAGAACCCAAGGUUCCAAAUGCAAAACAAUACACACACAUCAAACACAAAGUCCACCUCCUUCAACCUCACUUCUAACUCUCUUCUCUUCAAAUUUUUGACAAAAAUAAAAUGGAAUCACUAAACCUCUUUCAAGAACCGUCCAACACUCAUUAUGAAACAUAAUGUGCAGCUCCAAAUAUGUUUCCAAACAUCAAAAACGAAAUGCAAGAAGAAAGGGUUCAAAACUCAAAAC
RNAcentral lists this long non-coding RNA (1614 nucleotides) under Vigna radiata. RNAcentral describes it as "long non-coding RNA (VRAD_LNC016022)". Lineage: Eukaryota; Viridiplantae; Streptophyta; Magnoliopsida; Fabales; Fabaceae. The record is from RNAcentral.